CCUACGGGAGGCAGCAGUGAGGAAUAUUGGUCAAUGGACGAGAGUCUGAACCAGCCAAGUAGCGUGAAGGAUGACUGCCCUAUGGGUUUUAAACUUCUUUUAUAUGGGAAUAAAAUGUUCCACGUGUGGGAUUUUGUAUGUACCAUAUGAAUAAGGAUCGGCUAACUCCAUUCCAGCAGCCGCGGUAAUACGGAGGAUCCGCGCGUUAUCCGGAUUUAUUGGGUUUAAAGGAAGCGUAGGUGGAUUGUUAAGUCAGUUGUGAAAGUUUGCGGCUCAACCGUAAAAUUGCAGUUGAAACUGGCAGUCUUGAGUACAGUAGAGGUGGGCGGAAUUCGUGGUGUAGCGGUGAAAUGCUUAGAGAUAACGAAGAACUCCGAUUGCGAAGGCAGCUCACUGGACUGCAACUGACACUGAGGCUCGAAAGUGUGGGUAUCAAACAGGAUUAGAUACCCCUGUAGUC
This 460-nucleotide ribosomal RNA is filed under the name uncultured bacterium. RNAcentral's name for it is "partial 16S ribosomal RNA". It matches the Rfam family "Bacterial small subunit ribosomal RNA", at positions 338 to 795 of the family's 1533-position model. The record is from RNAcentral.